AGUUUGUAAUUUUACAGACAAAGCAAGUGACACUGGGAUAAGGUAGGUGUUAUUCAGAUUUUUUCCAAGUUCUAUAAACAUCUAUGUGAUCUCCACUCUUUUUAUAGAUAGAUAAUGUGCAAGAUUUGAUAGAAGUGAAUGAACAGAAUAUAACAGAAAUUUCAGGACAUGUUUAUUCAUGAGCACACAAUGAAGGUCAUAGUAGGCUGCUACCAGGCUAAAAAUGCUAUACAUUAACAACAACAACAACAACAACAACAACAACAAAAACCCAACAACAUACACAGUGCGAUAUUGGGGAAACAUGGUAAAUACUAAAGAUUUGAAAAUAUUUGUCUAGAGAGACAGGUUAAUAAAUCUGAAUGUUUGAUAGUGAAUUAAGAGAGUCAACUUAACCAUUACAUAUACAGAUGAUAGAACUGAUGUUGUCUCACUUUUUGCCAAGGGUGGAUCAAGGGUGACCGGAGGCAAGAAUUAAUGUGGAAAUCUGGGUCUCUGUCUUGACUUGAGAAAACAAAGAAUAAGAAGUCACCAUCUUCAAAUCCUCAGAUCAAAGGCUUAGAUAAACUUUCUGGAUCAGAAGUUCAGAAUGACAGCUUACAUUGCCACCUAGUGUCCACUAGAUGGAGGCCGCGAACAGCCUUCUGGGAAGCUGCGGAUGGGCAGGGUCUGCAGCUGCGCAGAGAAUGAAAUGGAGGGUCAAACACAGACAAGGCCGACCACUCCACCCGAUGAAAGGCUUGUCAGAGCAAUCCUGUAGAUUUCCACUUUCUUUUCAUUGAAAAGAGGACAUUUUUACAUCGACUAUCUACAGGUCUACCACCAGGUUAAAUGUGACCACGUUUAUGAUCAACUUCUGUAGAACAUGAAUUGUCUACCUCAUUUUAUCUCUUUAUCAGCAGAAUAUGAAAGAAUUGAAAUACUACAGAGGAAGAUAUGAAGAGUUACAGCUAGCAAGUAUGGACCAUUCUGUCAGAAGAUGGCAUUGGAUCUCUGAGAACUGGAGUCAUUGAUGGUUGUGAGUUACCAUGUGAAUGUUGGCAAUGGAACCCAAGUCCUUUGGAAGAGCACCCAGUGCUCUUAACCUAAACCAUAUCUCUAGAUAGAGUCACCUUGCCUUUGUUGUUGUUACUGUUUUUUCUAUUGUUGUUGUCAUUUGACAGAGUCUCUCAUGGGGACACAAGUUUCACAGAUUUUGCAGACUGCAUGGCCAGGAUGCUCCAGGGACAUGGCUGUCUUGACUUUCCAGUGUUGUGAGUUAUAAGCACAUACCUCUGUGCUUCCCCCAUUUUUGUUUUUGUUUUGGUAUUUUUUGAGAUAAUUUCUCUGUGUAUCCAUGGCUGUCCUAGAACUGGCUCUGUAGACCUGGCUGGUCUCAAAAUCCUUGAUCUGCUUGCUUGUCUCUCAAGUUCUAGGACUGAAGAUGUAUACCACCAUCGCCCCAUGGUCAUGAGGAAGCAAUGAGAAUCUGAUUAAGAACCGAUUACUUGGAUAAGGUUGAGAUACUUCACUUAUAAAGAACAGUUAUCCAGAAGCAGAACUACAGAAGACAAAAAGCAAGAUCUACCUGAAGACCAAGCUCUACCCAAAAGACACCUCACCAUGCCACAGCAACAGGAUCCUAACAUGGCUGCCCUAUGAGAGGCCCAUCAAGCAGCUGACUGAGACAGAUGCAGAUACUUACACCCAACCAAUGUACUGAAGUCGGGGACUACUGUGCUUGAAUUAGGGAAAGGCUAGAAGAAGCUGAAGAGGAGAUCUACCCCAUAGGAAGACCAGCAGUCUCCACUCACCUGGUCCCCUGAGAUGUCUCAGACACUGAGCCACCCACCAGCAGCAUACAAGAACUGGUCCAAGGACUCUGAUAUGUAUAAAGCAGAGGACUCUCUGGUCUGGCCUCAGUGAGAGAAUACUUGCCUAACCCUCAAGAGACUUGAGGCCCCAGAGAGUGGGGAGGUCUGGUGGGGAGGUGGUAACAUCCUUUUAGGAAGGGGUGGGAGGAGGACUGGGAUGAGGAACUGUGGGAGGAUAGACCAGAAGUAGGGUAAUGACUGGACUGUAAAAAAUAAAAGUAGAAAAUAAAAACAAAUUAUAUAUGUAUAUUUUAUUCCCAGUAGGUCUAUGUCUUUGAAUACCUGUCUGUUGCCUUCAGUGGCCAGAAGAUGGUGUGAGAUCCCCUGGAACUGGAAUUACAGACAUUCGUGAGUUGCUGUGUGUGUUCAGGAAAUUGAACCUAGGUUCUCUGGAAGAGCACACAGUACUUUUAAUUACUGAGCCAUACCUCCAAUACCUCUUCAGAGUUCUGUUUCUUCAUUUAUUUCUUACGUAUUGUAUCCUAACCAGAGUUUUCAAUCUUUCCUCUCCUUUGAGUCAGUCUUUCCCACCUGUUCUCUCCCCCGAGACCUUUUCUGUAUUCUUAAAUCAUGUUUGUCUCUAAUGUGCUGUCUUGCUUGUGAAGUUUUGUUAUUAGGUUACAUGGUCAUCUAUAAAAGACUUGUUGUAAGCUUUAAAUCUGUGUUUUGAUUUUCAAAAGAUCAUAGAGGAGAUUUAUUGUUUUCAAAAACAUUGCCUAUAUUACAAUAUGAACACCCUCUAUGCUCAUUUAGUUGGUUCAUUGUUAGCUGUCAACAUGACAGAAUCUGAAAUCAACUUGGAGACAAGCCCUUGGGACAUUACCUUGGUUGUUUGAAGAACCAUGAUAAUUGUAGCUAGGAACAUCCCCGGGCAGGAGAUCCUAGAUUGUAUAAGAUAAAGGCAGGCUGAGUGCUAGCAUGAACUAGAAUGAACCCAUGUUCAUUACUCUCUGCUUUUUAUUUUGAGAAUGUAUUCUGAUCACUAGAUCCCCUCUCUUAACUUAUACCUAACCUUCCCCCCAACUCAACUCACUCAGCUCCAUACUUUCUUCCCCUCUUUCUCUAGAAAGCAUGUGGACAAGUUCCCUGCUUCUUAGUUGUGGAUAGAACAUGAUCAGUUCUCUUCUACAAAAUGCCACUAUGACUUCCCCAAUGACGGAAUGUAACUUGAAAUUACAAGUUAAAAUAAACUUUUCUGCAUUUUUUCCUAGUGAAAUUACUUCAACUCAACAUGGAAUUAUUCCCACAAACCAUCAGAUUAUCCCGAAGGGGACCUGACCACCUCAGCCUUCAGGAAGACUUCCUUCAUGGAUCUCCAUUUGGAUUUCUGGACAGAAAAACAGCAACCCUGAAUAGAGGCCUGAAAGGCAUAUCAUUUAGGACUGAGUGUUCCAAUUCUCUCAUUCUCUGCACAUUGUUCAGAUUCAUGAGGCCUGAGGGGAACGGUUCGAUGAAAGCAUCUUAUUCAGGACAAUUCUCUCACUCUCUGUAUAUUAUCCAGUUGUGGCUUUCUGGGCCAGUUCCCAUCUACUACAAGAAGCUUCUCUGAUGAGACAUGCAGAAUACCUUCCAACUCCAUGAAUAUUAGAGGUGAAGCUUCUAGCUGGGCAUUGGCUCUAUUUCUCGAUGUUUGAUGACAUAAUCUCACCCUGAUCUAUGCUGAACUUAGACUCGGAGAAGGUACUUCUUUCUGGUCUGCUGAGGAGCUUUUAUUAAGAGAGAGAUCACACACAUAGCUGGUGAUAUUUCUGAUAUGGAGUCUUACUGUACUUCUUAGUGAGGUUGCAAACUUCAAGCACUAAUGCCACGCUUCCUGUCAGCAUCAUGAGAAGAUCACAUGGAGACUACUACCCUGAUCUAAGGUAUUAUAAAGUCAUUUGCUUCCCAACAUUUGUUUUUGAUUUUCCAUUAUUUAUAUACAUAAUUAGAUUGAAGUUUAUAUUUUCUUAUGCUUUAUAAUUUUCAUUCACUAUUUUGAUCUGGAAAUAAUAAAAUUCACUUAUGGUUCCAAGUCUCAGAGGAGAGUUGGUCUCAGAGCCAGGGUGAGACACUAAACUUUCUGGAUAUCAGAAUCCUCACAACAUUUGGUCAUGACAGAAAACAAGGUGAACUGUGUGAUCACCGUUCCUGAGAUUGCACAAAACAUAGUGAACAAGGCAGCAUUAGGCAAAAUUAAAUUUGCAGUGCUCUUUCAUAUUUCCAGUGUAGUCCAGAAUUUGUUUACUUUUGUCAGGUUCCUUAAAAAGUUUCCAUUCCAGGAGGUGUAUUCUGGCAAUAACUGUUGUUUUUAUUGUUCUUCUCAGUGAAUAUUUCAUGCAUAGAAUCAUACCUACUUAUGUGUAUUACAUAUGUAACCUUUUAUUAAUUAUCUAUACUAUAUUUUGAUUAAUUUUUCUCUCUCAAUGUCAUCCAUAUUCUUCCUAUCUCCCUACCCAAGUAAUUUAAUGUUAUCUCUAUUCUAUCUUUAAUAAAAAAUGAAUAUGCAAAGAAACAGAAAAGUCUACCAAACCAAACCAAACCAAACCAAAACCUAUCACAACCCAGUACACAAUGAAAUAGCAAAGAAAUCAAACAUGGAUUUUAUUUUAUUUUGGCCCUAGAUUGUGGUUGAUAUUUUCAAUAACUCCAUUUGAGAAACAAGAUUCUAUUUUCUUACAGAUAUAAACUACAAAUUCCUUACUGAUGAGGAGUAGGACUUUGUGGUCACAUCCUCAAUCAAUGCUGCAGUUGUGAUCCAUGGCAAGGGAAGAACAUGAAGUCAGGACUGCUUGAUCAGCUGAAACAGACACUCAAAAAUACUCAAUACUGCAAGGCCCUUUUUCCUUAAAAUCUUAGAUCACUUAACUAGCAUGGCAUAGUUAAGAUGAUGGAGCAUACCUAGGAAGUUUAUUCACACGCUGGGAUACCAAAGCCUUCUUACUGUCCACAGCAUUCUUAGAUACUUCCUUUUCAAUGUGAAUCUAGCAGAGGCAAAAUAAGGUUUAUAGGUGUUCAUAUAGUAAUUAAGAAUUAUACAGAGAGUAUUUAUGCACAAACAGUGUGGAUAUAGAGGCGCAAUUCUGCAACUCAUGUGUUAAUCUUUCACUUUUUAAAGGAGCUGUUCACUAGAGAGUAGCUGUAAGGAAUGGAAAAUUUGAACCAUUGGGGAAGAUUGAGGAAGCAGAGAUGAUCAUCAAUUGGGAGUAUGAUGUAAUAAUUUUCAAUAAGGGGAUGUGGAUGCGGACUACAAGAUCAUCCACUAAGGAAGAACAUUCAUUGUCAUGGAUGUGAGACAUUAGGUACUAUUCUUCCAUACAAAUAAGGAGGAGGAUUUUCUGGUUUAGCCUAGAGAGAUGGAUCUGGAUAGGCACUGAAGAAAAGAGCGGCAGACAUCUGAUUUCAAGUUGUCAACGAUAUAAGACCUGAAACCUAGAGGCCAUCAAAGAGAAAGACAUUUGCAAUGGACACACGACUAGUUCCUCCCUUGGAAUGCCACAGCAACAACCAAAGUAUCACCAAGAAGCUGUAGAGGCAAUAUGACUACAAAUAAGGUUACUGAGAAAUGUGUCUAAUGGUGAGUUCCAGCCCUGAGAGAUACUUCUGAUCUAAGGGUUGAUUAUUAGACUUGUAAACUUCAAUUAAUAUACAGUGUGUUCUUGUCACCAAUUAUUUCUACCCAUCACUUCAGUGAGGGCUAACUGUUUAGACUUGGUAUAUAGUGUCUGCUUGUCUGCAUCUGUUUCCAUCAGUCACUACAAUAAUCCAGUACCAUGAUGACAAGAAAGUAGCCAGCACACACAUGGAACUCUUGUGCCAAUUACAGGAACACCAACUUUGUUACAGUGUGCCAAGCCUCAGCUGCUCUACAAGACCUUCAAGUCUUCAAACAUCUCACCACCUGAAUCACAUUUAUACACCAACUUUGGCUGCCAGCAUGAAGCAUAAUGAUCAAGACUGGAAAACAGCUUUUGUGUGGGUCUCACCAUGCUGCUUAUGAUAAUCUCAAACUCAGGCACUGAGGACUUUCUUCUCUCCCAAGUUAUGAGAAGCUUUUUCCGAAUAUACCUCGCUGGUGAAUGUCACAUCAAUAACAGAAGAAUCAGUAAGCAGCUGCAAAAGCAACAUGGCUACUACUGCGGCUACUGAAAAAUAUGUCUAGUGGGUCUGACUGUGCUGCUCAAUGUUGUUGAAACUCAAGCAUUAAAGGCAUGCUUUCUCUCAUCAUCCUAAGAUUCUCACACUGGAGAUUGCUACUGUGAACUUCUGGAGCUGUUCACAAGAUAAUAUUUGAAAACGAUGGACAGUUUUAUGGGCCACAUUGAAGAAGAUUGAGGGGGCAGAGAAAUGGAAAUAUUAAGUGGAACAGCACAGACAAUUUCCCAUUUACUGAGAUAUCAGUCCUAAUUACAGGAAACUAAAAUUGACAUUAAAGGACCACUUAAGAGGACAACAUCUGAAAUAUUAUAGAAGAAAAUCGCAAGAUUCAUGUAGUAUAUGCGAGGUCCUCUGUUUAACAUUUGCAAGGAUAAGAAUUCAGGGUCAGGAGAAAUGGUCAUCUGAGAAGCAGAAUCAACAAGUCAAGAAAGCUCAUGAGCAAUUGAAUUUCACCACUUAGAUUUCUCAGAGGAAGAGUUUUUUGAACCAUGUCCCCAACAGUUUUGGACAAUGAAGCUCACUUUCAGCAACUGCUUCAAAGAUAUUCAUGACAUAAAAUAACAUUAUGAUUAUUCUAAGACAAGGCAACAUUCACAAAUUCUUGAAACUUUCCUUGCCAUGUUUUGUAAGAAAACAAAACAAAGGAGGGAAAGCAAGAAGAAAGAAUGUGGAAAGAAAGAAGACAAGCAUGGAAGAAGAAAUGAAAGAAAGGUGUGACAUGUCAGGAGAUUCAGCUGAAAAGGAAUUGGCAAGCAGGAAUGGAAGAUGAAGAAUGACAGUUGAGAGCAUGAACUCUGGUCAGGAGGGAGAUUUUCUCCAUGUGGAUAUCUAGAAGUAUUAUACUGAUGACAUUAGAAAUGACUCUGGAAUAUUAGUCUGAAGGGCAAUUUCCAUGCUGCUCAUUGUAGUCUCAUCUUUGAAACCAUGUUUCCUCUUCACAUCAUGAGAAGCUAAUGGUGCAGAUGCAAACCACAACACUCAGCUGAUGGUAUUGUAAAACACCUGCAUUCCAACACUCAAUUUUGAGAUUUGAGCACUGUCUUUGCUGAAAUUAUGUUUAGGUCUAUAUAUGACUUUAGUAAUUACUAUUUUCCAUACAAAAGAAUUAUUGCCUUUGCAAAACUUUUUUUUUUUUUUGCUUUAAGCUUUAAAAAAUGAAAAUUCCAAGUGUUUACUUUCCAAAACAAAUGGCUUCAGGAUGCUUUUUAGAAAAAUGUCCAAUAGAGAUGUCAACAAUUGUCAUCAUUGAAUACUUUUAAAAUGGCAAAUAUACUGAGGUACUUAAGACUAGCUAAUGUGUUAUUUCCCCUAAAGAUAAUCUUUUUGUAACUAACAUUUGAGUGUUUUUGUCUAAUCAUGAAUUUAGCUAAGGAUUCUCAAAGAUUUUUAUUUUAUAGUUUAAGAUGAUCAUGUAGAUUUUAUCAUUCUUUAUUUUAAUGUAGUUUGGUAAUUGAAAUGUUUGCAUAUCUUAAACCUAUAUAUUUAGAAAACUUUCUUCAGCAUCCUAAAAAUAUCUGACUAUGUGUUAAGUAUUUCGACUGCAUUAAUUAAUAUAUAUUUCAUGUAAUAUUUUCAAAUAAUGUAUUUUGAUCACAUUCUUUCUCAUUAUUAAAUUUGUCUCAGAUACUUCCUAUUUCCUUACCAACAUAAAAUUUAUGCAUCCAU
Molecule: long non-coding RNA, 7652 nt
Organism: Mastomys coucha (southern multimammate mouse)
Lineage: Eukaryota; Metazoa; Chordata; Mammalia; Rodentia; Muridae
Exons: 31
Source: RefSeq, a predicted model, not a curated record